UAUUUGCUCAUGACGGCCACAGCUUAAAGCACCUACGGUUGUGGCUUGAUUUGAAAGA
This is a regulatory RNA element of Oryctolagus cuniculus (rabbit), 58 nucleotides long. It matches the Rfam family "Selenocysteine insertion sequence 1". Rfam says of the family: The incorporation of selenocysteine into a protein sequence is directed by an in-frame UGA codon (usually a stop codon) within the coding region of the mRNA. Selenoprotein mRNAs contain a conserved secondary structure in the 3' UTR that is required for the distinction of UGA stop from UGA selenocysteine. The record is from Rfam. NCBI's taxonomy places the organism in Eukaryota, Metazoa, Chordata, Mammalia, Lagomorpha, Leporidae.